AAAUAAAAACUGGGGAGUCCGAACUGGAGGCUGAGAGGAUGAAUUUAUUCAUCGACCCAUUGACCUGAUCCUGGUAAUGCAGGCGUAGGCAUUAAUAAUUUUUAAAAU
This 108-nucleotide non-coding RNA is filed under the name Halanaerobium hydrogeniformans. Its description in RNAcentral is "TPP sequence". It matches the Rfam family "TPP riboswitch aptamer (THI element)". Rfam says of the family: Vitamin B(1) in its active form thiamin pyrophosphate (TPP) is an essential coenzyme that is synthesised by coupling of pyrimidine and thiazole moieties in bacteria. The record is from Rfam by way of RNAcentral. Lineage: Bacteria; Bacillati; Bacillota; Clostridia; Halanaerobiales; Halanaerobiaceae.